GCGGUAAUACGUAGGGUGCAAGCGUUAAUCGGAAUUACUGGGCGUAAAGCGUGCGCAGGCGGUUCGGAAAGAAAGAUGUGAAAUCCCAGAGCUUAACUUUGGAACUGCAUUUUUAACUACCGAGCUAGAGUGUGUCAGAGGGAGGUGGAAUUCCGCGUGUAGCAGUGAAAUGCGUAGAUAUGCGGAGGAACACCGAUGGCGAAGGCAGCCUCCUGGGAUAACACUGACGCUCAUGCACGAAAGCGUGGGGAGCAAACAGGAUUA
This 264-nucleotide ribosomal RNA is filed under the name Bordetella pseudohinzii. RNAcentral's name for it is "partial 16S ribosomal RNA". It matches the Rfam family "Bacterial small subunit ribosomal RNA", at positions 517 to 780 of the family's 1533-position model. The record is from RNAcentral. Lineage: Bacteria; Pseudomonadati; Pseudomonadota; Betaproteobacteria; Burkholderiales; Alcaligenaceae.